RNAcentral lists this non-coding RNA (28 nucleotides) under Macaca fascicularis (crab-eating macaque). The record is from RNAcentral. RNAcentral also lists the same sequence under 1 other name. Lineage: Eukaryota; Metazoa; Chordata; Mammalia; Primates; Cercopithecidae.
UAACCAGGUGUGAGCUACAGGUCUCUGU